This 144-nucleotide unclassified non-coding RNA is filed under the name uncultured Capnodiales. RNAcentral's name for it is "sequence contains ITS1". Lineage: Eukaryota; Fungi; Ascomycota; Dothideomycetes; Capnodiales. The record is from RNAcentral.
CGAGAGAUGGCGGGCCCCCCGGCCCCCGUCCCCAACCCUUUGUUGACCCAACCUUUUUGCCUCGGGGGUGGAGCGUCCGUCGCCGCCCCCGGAGGACCACCCAACGCUGUCUCUUUGCGUCGGAGUAUUGAUUAAAAUGAAUGA